GACGAACGCUGGCGGCGUGCUUAACACAUGCAAGUCGAACGGAAAGGCCCCCUUGUGGGGUACUCUAGUGGCGAACGGGUUAGUAACACGGGAGUAACCUACCCUUGACUGUGUGAUAACUUCAGGAAACUGGGGCUAAUACCUGAUAGGAGCUCCUUCUGCAUGGUGGGGGUUGGAAAGUUUCGGCGGUUGGGGAUGGACUCGCGGCUUAUCAGCUUGUUGGUGGGGUAGUGGCUCACCAAGGCUUUGACGGGUAGCCGGCCUGAGAGGGUGACCGGCCACAUUGGGACUGAGAUACGGCCCAGACUCCUACGGGAGGCAGCAGUGGGGAAUAUUGCACAAUGGGCGGAAGCCUGAUGCAGCAACGCCGCGUGCGGGAUGACGGCCUUCGGGUUGUAAACCGCUUUCGCCUGUGACGAAGCGUGAGUGACGGUAAUGGGUAAAGAAGCACCGGCUAACUACGUG
This 465-nucleotide ribosomal RNA is filed under the name uncultured bacterium. RNAcentral's name for it is "partial 16S ribosomal RNA". It matches the Rfam family "Bacterial small subunit ribosomal RNA", at positions 28 to 507 of the family's 1533-position model. The record is from RNAcentral.